This 478-nucleotide ribosomal RNA is filed under the name Treponema sp. oral taxon B58. Its description in RNAcentral is "bacterial SSU rRNA". It matches the Rfam family "Bacterial small subunit ribosomal RNA", at positions 29 to 491 of the family's 1533-position model. Lineage: Bacteria; Pseudomonadati; Spirochaetota; Spirochaetia; Treponematales; Treponemataceae. The record is from RNAcentral.
ACGAACGCUGGCGGUGCGUUUUAAGCAUGCAAGUCGAACGGCAAGGGGAGAGCUUGCUCUCCCCCUAGAGUGGCGGACUGGUGAGUAACGCGUGGAUGAUCUACCUUUGAGAUGGGGAUAGCUUCUAGAAAUAGGAGGUAAUACCGAAUAGCCUUAUCGUGUUAUGACGUGAUAAGAAAAUGGAGCAUUAGCUUCGCUUAAAGAUGAGUCUGCGUCCCAUUAGCUAGUAGGUAAGGUAAAGGCUUACCAAGGCGACGAUGGGUACCCGGCCUGAGAGGGUGAACGGGCACAUUGGGACUGAGAUACGGCCCAAACUCCUACGGGAGGCAGCAGCUGAGAAUCUUCCGCAAUGGACGAAAGUCUGACGGAGCGACACCGCGUGAACGAUGAAGGCCGGAAGGUUGUAAAGUUCUUUUGCAGACAAAGAAUAAGGAUAGAAGGAAAUGACUAUCUGAUGACGGUAGUUAUGCGAAUAAGC